This 258-nucleotide ribosomal RNA is filed under the name uncultured bacterium. RNAcentral's name for it is "partial 16S ribosomal RNA". It matches the Rfam family "Bacterial small subunit ribosomal RNA", at positions 333 to 605 of the family's 1533-position model. The record is from RNAcentral.
CUUUGCCUACGGGACGCAGCAGUGGGGAAUAUUGGGCAAUGGGCGCAAGCCUGACCCAGCAAUGCCGCGUGAAGGAAGAAGGCCCUCGGGUUGUAAACUUCUUUUAUCAGGGACGAAGGAUGUGACGGUACCUGAUGAAUAAGCUCCGGCUAACUACGUGCCAGCAGCCGCGGUAAUACGUAGGGAGCAAGCGUUAUCCGGAUUUACUGGGUGUAAAGGACGCGUAGGCGGGAUGGCAAGUCAGAUGUGAAAUCCGGG